RNAcentral lists this ribosomal RNA (635 nucleotides) under uncultured Marinobacter sp. RNAcentral's name for it is "bacterial SSU rRNA". It matches the Rfam family "Bacterial small subunit ribosomal RNA", at positions 870 to 1504 of the family's 1533-position model. The record is from RNAcentral. Lineage: Bacteria; Pseudomonadati; Pseudomonadota; Gammaproteobacteria; Pseudomonadales; Marinobacteraceae.
CGCCUGGGGAGUACGGCCGCAAGGUUAAAACUCAAAUGAAUUGACGGGGGCCCGCACAAGCGGCGGAGCAUGUGGUUUAAUUCGACGCAACGCGAAGAACCUUACCUGGCCUUGACAUCCAGAGAACUUUCCAGAGAUGGAUUGGUGCCUUCGGGAACUCUGAGACAGGUGCUGCAUGGCCGUCGUCAGCUCGUGUCGUGAGAUGUUGGGUUAAGUCCCGUAACGAGCGCAACCCCUAUCCCUGGUUGCUAGCAGGUAAUGCAGAGAACUCCAGGGAGACUGCCGGUGACAAACCGGAGGAAGGUGGGGAUGACGUCAGGUCAUCAUGGCCCUUACGGCCAGGGCUACACACGUGCUACAAUGGCGCGUACAGAGGGCUGCCAACUCGCGAGAGUGAGCCAAUCCCUUAAAACGCGUCGUAGUCCGGAUCGGAGUCUGCAACUCGACUCCGUGAAGUCGGAAUCGCUAGUAAUCGCGAAUCAGAAUGUCGCGGUGAAUACGAUCCCGGGCCUUGUACACACCGCCCGUCACACCAUGGGAGUGGAUUGCACCAGAAGUAGUUAGUCUAACCUUCGGGAGGACGAUUACCACGGUGUGGUUCAUGACUGGGGUGAAGUCGUAACAAGGUAACCGUA